Molecule: long non-coding RNA, 204 nt
Filed under: Fukomys damarensis (Damara mole-rat)
Lineage: Eukaryota; Metazoa; Chordata; Mammalia; Rodentia; Bathyergidae
Description: lncRNA (ENSFDAG00000023028.1)
Source: RNAcentral
GUAGCCCAGGCUGGUCUCGAACUCACAGCAAUCCUCCUGCCUCAACCUCCCGAGUGCUGGGAUUACAAGCAUGCGCCACCAGGCUUGGCUGAGCUGCCUGUUUAAUGGGGAAAAAUUUGAAGAAUUUGUCAGAGGGAUGUUCUCCCGAUAUGCCCUGCAGCAACUUCCCAGGCCUCCCAUACGGCCCACAGGACUACAAAUGAG